GGCUCUGUAGCUCAGGGGUCAGAGCAUUGGCCUUGUAAACCAGAGGUUGUGGGUUCAAAUCUCCCUGGAGCCU
Non-coding RNA from Trachemys scripta elegans, 73 nucleotides. The record is from the annotation of a RefSeq genome assembly. Lineage: Eukaryota; Metazoa; Chordata; Testudines; Emydidae.